This 432-nucleotide ribosomal RNA is filed under the name uncultured bacterium. RNAcentral's name for it is "partial 16S ribosomal RNA". It matches the Rfam family "Bacterial small subunit ribosomal RNA", at positions 29 to 506 of the family's 1533-position model. The record is from RNAcentral.
AACGAACGCUGGCGGCAUGCCUAACACAUGCAAGUCGAACGAGACCUUCGGGUCUAGUGGCGCACGGGUGCGUAACGCGUGGGAACCUGCCCUUAGGUUCGGAAUAACUCCCCGAAAGGGGUGCUAAUACCGGAUAAUGUCUUCGGACCAAAGAUUUAUCGCCUUUGGAUGGGCCCGCGUUGGAUUAGCUAGUUGGUAGGGUAAAAGCCUACCAAGGCGACGAUCCAUAGCUGGUCUGAGAGGAUGAUCAGCCACACUGGGACUGAGACACGGCCCAGACUCCUACGGGAGGCAGCAGGGGGGAAUUUUGGACAAUGGGCGAAAGCCUGAUCCAGCAAGGCCGCGGGAGUGAUGAAGGCCUUAGGGUUGUAAAGCUUUUUUCCCCGGGAUGAAAAGGACAGUACCGGGAAAAUAAGCCCCGGCUAACCCCGU